GAAAUUGUUAAGGGAUUUUGUGAUUUUAUGAUGUUUUUCCUUUUUGAUACAUCUUCCUUUUUAAUGUUUCAUUUACUCAGUUCUCCUUAUAAUGCUCCAUUUACUCAUUUACUCAUAUGCUCCUGUUAAGAAAGGCUUGGAAAGCACAUAGUGUUCACAUAUCUUUAUGUUUUGUCUUUGCUUCUUCUCACACACAUACACAUGAGCCCUGCAGUAAUCGCUGACUCCUGUGAAAGUCUCUUGCAGACACCCUUGGAAACAGGACCCAACUGGCUUCUGUUUUCCUCGAGAUAGACAAUACACUCACACACACACACACACACACUGUGUCCCAUACAUGCCCAGAUUGUCUGUUACAGCCUGAAAAACAGGGAAUGCUACGAUGUAUAAAUAAAGCUGACUGCAAAGCCUCGGGGUGGGUAUCACCCGAUCACUCACCCGUGCGCACGUAGUUCUCUGAACAAAACUCUGACUGUUUCUGUAUUCUUUCAAUGUUUAAAAAUGUCUUGCCACUGACAUUUAAUUGGUCCUUCGAGCCGGAUAGUUUAUUGAUAUUAUUGUAUCAUCUAACUAUUCACAGACGGAGCCACCAGAUCCUGACGUCGUGACUACCUGCACUGCAACCACCGUUUCUAGCGAAGCGAGGAAAAGCCCAGAGUCGUACAUUCGCCUACUGGCCAGUGUCUUAUACAGGUCCACGACGCCAGGUUCUCGGUGACGCCGGGAAAAAGAACACAGCGCAACAUUGAAGGCUGCUUUGCCGGCCCUGAAAGCCGAGGCUGACCUGGACUCCUGCUCUCCCCUCUACGUGACCCUGACCAAAUGCUGCAACAGCUGGACUUAUAACAACAAUUUCCUGAAAAUGUCAACAGGGCUGCAGAAAAGCGAUCUUAUGCAGCGGAGACGGAGAGCGUUAAAACCAAGGCCCGUUUCACUACACGGGGGAAAAUUCCCAGACAGCUUCAGCUGACAGAGCUGUGACGAGACGCCUGCCAAGCCGAAUGACAAGUAAGGCCGAGCAAAAGAAUGCUGACCUUAACAAUUCUGCAUUAACACGGUGCAGGACAGUGAUGGACCAACACGGCAGCAAGAAGGGCGUGCCAGAGACAGAAGGAGCAACUGAGGUCGAAUGGACAAAACACAGAAGAAGAUGCAGUUUUCACCUGCGGUGAGCAUGGACACUGGAGAAAAGGACUGUCCCAAUUGAGGUCAGAACCAGGACAGACUGAACUUUGGACAGCAGCAAUGGUGGCAAACGGACUGAAAAGGAGGAGGGCAGGACCCCAGGGCACGCUUCAGGCUGUGGUUUACCCAGAACACCAGAACAGGAAAGUGAUGAACACACACACAUCUACAUACACCGAUUCAGAAUGAAGUGAAAUAUACACAUGAACACAUGUGCACUCGUUGAUAGAGGGAGAAAUGGCACACACACACGCUUAUGCAAUGAAGAAUGCUUUGCUCGCAAAUGCUUAUGCUCAUGCAAAAUGCUGCACACAAACAUCCCAAUACAUAAUUUUUAUGAGAAGCAAUUGAUUACUUAAAAUGUGUUUUAUGUCACCCAGAGGAUAUUUAUGUAGAUUUAAGGAACAAGGUCUAAAAUUGUCCGGUUAUGAAAACAAUGUCUGUGCGUGAGGUCUGUUUAUGGCUCAAGGUCUUGAUUGAAUUGUCUAUUGUGCUACACACUUCGUAAAUGAAGUAAUAUCAAAAGUCUCUGAAGCACUGGGCUUCAGUAUAAAACAUCACUUCUCAUAUCUCAUAGACAAAUCCAUAAGAGAAACAAAACUAGCAGAAUGGAUGACAAAACUGUUAGAAAACAAAGAAAUAGUUUUGAACAAUCAACUGCCAGAUGAUUCUCUUCCAGUCUCUUCCAGGUUGAAACCAGGAGAUUGGAUCCUGAUAAAAGUGCUCCAGAGGAAAAAGUGGAGCUCCCCGAGGUGGGAAGGACCCUACCAAGUCCCCCUGGCCACACCAACAGCCUGCAAAAUUGCUGAACGACCUUCCUGGAUUCACCAGAGCCACUGUAAAAAAGUGAGUGACAGUCCACACUAAGACGCCAGCACCCCUGCCUGUCAGUGACCUGGGAGGUGGAGAGAGGGCUGUUUGGGUAAAUCCCGCCCUUGUUCUUCUCGCCCCUAGUCUACUCACUCACAGGACCAGGUGUGUUCGGUCAUCAUGAAGACCCUACUCGUUCUGGUGGCCAGUGUCACAAUUCUGUUGGGACUGCUGUCGCUGAUUUCAGAAGAAGAAGGACAAGAUUGACACAUGACACAAUACAUCCAGACGACAUGACACAAGAUCACAACCACCCAUGGAUGAACAAUGCCUGGUACCGUUAUGUGUACAACUCCACAAGAGACAGAAACUAUUACAUCUGUUCGCACAUGCCUCUUAAUGCAAAACACCUGAUAAUGUGCAUUCCACCAACAUGUCUGAUGCACUGAACACGCUACGUCAGCUCAGACGAGUACAGCAGCAAGAUUACACACACAACACCGAGGACUGGCUCACAUGGCUGCUUAGCGGGUCGUGGAAGUCAUUACUCACAAAAGGACUAACAUUCGUUGGAAUGCUCCUUAUGUUACUUUGCUUAUUUUCCACAUGUGUACUGCCUUGUAUUCGGAGUAUGAUAAGCAAAAUGUUUACUGUAAGAUUGCAAGCUUAUGUUGCAUUAUCUCAAAAUGAACAAGCUCAAGAAGAGGUACAAGUUGAAGAAGAUGAUUUUUAAGCACUAAACUGUGUAAACCCACUAAAGUUGAUCAUGUACGUUUUCACAAAAUGAUACUCUAGUUGAAAAUGCUUCUGCAAGUGACUAGUAGUUGAAGUACAUAAAUAUAUAUGAACAACAGCAGGGAAUGUUAAGGGAUUUUGUGAUUUUAUGAUGUUUUUCCUUUUU
Long non-coding RNA from Oreochromis niloticus (Nile tilapia), 2896 nucleotides. RefSeq lists it as uncharacterized. The transcript has 2 exons. Lineage: Eukaryota; Metazoa; Chordata; Actinopteri; Cichliformes; Cichlidae. The record is from RefSeq and is a predicted model, not a curated record.